This 295-nucleotide long non-coding RNA is filed under the name Salvia miltiorrhiza (redroot sage). Its description in RNAcentral is "long non-coding RNA (SMIL_LNC014117)". Lineage: Eukaryota; Viridiplantae; Streptophyta; Magnoliopsida; Lamiales; Lamiaceae. The record is from RNAcentral.
GAGGCGGCCUGACCAACCGCUGCUCUCUGUCUCAGGGCGGCGAGGGUGGCCGCGCUGUCGGCUGAAGAGAGAGAGAAAGGUGAGGGCGGUGUUGGGCAGGAGCAGGCGACGGCUGGCGGAGGAUGAGGCCGGAGGAGGAGUCAGCCGCGGCUUGGAGCGGCGAGGAGAAGGACAGAAGGAGGGAGAGAAGUCGAUGGGGAGGGAGAGAGGUUAAAGAGAGGACAGGGGGAGGCAGAGUCGCCGGCCUCCGGCGGCGGCGUGUCGUCUGGUGGCGGCGGCAGGAGGCCGAGAAGGG